Molecule: unclassified non-coding RNA, 251 nt
Filed under: Flavocetraria sp.
Lineage: Eukaryota; Fungi; Ascomycota; Lecanoromycetes; Lecanorales; Parmeliaceae
Description: partial contains 5.8S ribosomal RNA, internal transcribed spacer 2, and large subunit ribosomal RNA
Rfam family: 5.8S ribosomal RNA (bases 1-52)
Source: RNAcentral
AACGCACCUUGCGCCCUUUGGUAUUCCGAAGGGCAUGCCUGUUUGAGUGUCAUGAAAACCUCAUCCCAUCGGGUUUCCGAUGACGAUGGAUCUGGGUGUUGCCGUCCUGGCUCGCCUUAAAAGUGUUAGCGGUUCCGAGGUCGAAUCUGGCGUAAUAAGUUUCGCUGGCCAAGACCGGAGGCUGCUCAUAACCCGUCUUCUGACAUUUUUGCUCUGACCUCAAAUCAGGUAGGACUACCCGCUGAACUUAA